RNAcentral lists this ribosomal RNA (407 nucleotides) under uncultured bacterium. RNAcentral's name for it is "partial 16S ribosomal RNA". It matches the Rfam family "Bacterial small subunit ribosomal RNA", at positions 28 to 526 of the family's 1533-position model. The record is from RNAcentral.
GACGAACGCUGGCGGCGUGCCUAAUACAUGCAAGUAGGACGCAGUUGCGAACGGGUGAGUAACGCGUAGGUAACUACCUAUUAGAGGGGGAUAACUAUUGGAAACGAUAGCUAAUACCGCAUACUAGUAGAUGGACCUGCGUUGUAUUAGCUAGUAGGUAGGGUAAUGGCCUACCUAGGCAACGAAACAUAGCCGACUGGGGAGGGUGAUCGGGCAAACCGGGACUGGAAAAAGGCUCAGGCGCCUACGGGAGGGAGCAGUAGGGAAUCUUCGGCAAUGGGGGGAACGCUGACCGAGCAACUCCGCGGGAGUGAAGAAGGUUUUCGGAUCGUAAAGCGCUGUUGUGAAGGAAGCGGUACUUAACCAGAAAGGGACGGCUAACUACGUGCCAGCAGCCGCGGUAAUUC